CCAAGCCCGUUUAUGUUAGGACAUGUGGGUCCAACUUAAUUGCUCCUCAAAACAGCUGACCGUGCCCUGCCUCCCGACCGUGCCGGACCCGCCACUCUGCCCCCUCCCCCCUUCUUCUCCGGUGGCGGCGGAUCUUGCGUUCUCAACGGCGGCGGCGGAGCCCUCGUUCUCAACGGCGGCGGAGCCUUCGUCCUCAAAAAAUGGUUGUGAGGGGAGCCCGUGGGCAUACUGAGAUGGAGCCCCCAGAUUCAACUUCGAAUAGAGGGGAUGCUGCCGCUCGGACCUUCGAAUUGACGGUCAAUUUCUUUCCAUCAAAGGCAAAAUUAGUUGAUGGUAGCA
This is a long non-coding RNA of Triticum aestivum (bread wheat), 339 nucleotides long. RefSeq lists it as uncharacterized. The transcript is spliced from 3 exons. Lineage: Eukaryota; Viridiplantae; Streptophyta; Magnoliopsida; Poales; Poaceae. The record is from RefSeq and is a predicted model, not a curated record.